UAGUUUGUAUUAAGUUUGCCGGUGAUGA
RNAcentral lists this small RNA (28 nucleotides) under Bombyx mori (domestic silkworm). RNAcentral's name for it is "ovarian small RNA-23231". Lineage: Eukaryota; Metazoa; Arthropoda; Insecta; Lepidoptera; Bombycidae. The record is from RNAcentral.